Molecule: ribosomal RNA, 922 nt
Filed under: Salmonella enterica subsp. enterica serovar Kentucky
Lineage: Bacteria; Pseudomonadati; Pseudomonadota; Gammaproteobacteria; Enterobacterales; Enterobacteriaceae
Description: partial 23S ribosomal RNA
Rfam family: Bacterial large subunit ribosomal RNA
Source: RNAcentral
AGGGAAACCGAGUCUUAACUGGGCGUUAAGUUGCAGGGUAUAGACCCGAAACCCGGUGAUCUAGCCAUGGGCAGGUUGAAGGUUGGGUAACACUAACUGGAGGACCGAACCGACUAAUGUUGAAAAAUUAGCGGAUGACUUGUGGCUGGGGGUGAAAGGCCAAUCAAACCGGGAGAUAGCUGGUUCUCCCCGAAAGCUAUUUAGGUAGCGCCUCGUGAACUCAUCUUCGGGGGUAGAGCACUGUUUCGGCUAGGGGGUCAUCCCGACUUACCAACCCGAUGCAAACUGCGAAUACCGAAGAAUGUUAUCACGGGAGACACACGGCGGGUGCUAACGUCCGUCGUGAAGAGGGAAACAACCCAGACCGCCAGCUAAGGUCCCAAAGUCACAGUUAAGUGGGAAACGAUGUGGGAAGGCUCAGACAGCCAGGAUGUUGGCUUAGAAGCAGCCAUCAUUUAAAGAAAGCGUAAUAGCUCACUGGUCGAGUCGGCCUGCGCGGAAGAUGUAACGGGGCUAAACUGUGCACCGAAGCUGCGGCAGCGACGCUUAUGCGUUGUUGGGUAGGGGAGCGUUCUGUAAGCCUGCGAAGGUGUCCUGUGAGGGAUGCUGGAGGUAUCAGAAGUGCGAAUGCUGACAUAAGUAACGAUAAUGCGGGUGAAAAGCCCGCUCGCCGGAAGACCAAGGGUUCCUGUCCAACGUUAAUCGGGGCAGGGUGAGUCGACCCCUAAGGCGAGGCCGAAAGGCGUAGUCGAUGGGAAACGGGUUAAUAUUCCCGUACUUGGUGUUACUGCGAAGGGGGGACGGAGAAGGCUAUGUUGGCCGGGCGACGGUUGUCCCGGUUUAAGCGUGUAGGCUGGUUUUCCAGGCAAAUCCGGAAAAUCAAGGCUGAGGCGUGAUGACGAGGCACUACGGUGCUGAAGCA